RNAcentral lists this ribosomal RNA (497 nucleotides) under uncultured bacterium. RNAcentral describes it as "partial 16S ribosomal RNA". It matches the Rfam family "Bacterial small subunit ribosomal RNA", at positions 28 to 507 of the family's 1533-position model. The record is from RNAcentral.
GAUGAACGCUGGCGGCGUGCCUAAUACAUGCAAGUCGAGCGAACGGACGAGAAGCUUGCUUUUCUGAUGUUAGCGGCGGACGGGUGAGUAACACGUGGAUAACCUACCUAUAAGACUGGGAUAACUUCGGGAAACCGGAGCUAAUACCGGAUAAUAUUUUGAACCGCAUGGUUCAAAAGUGAAAGACGGUCUUGCUGUCACUUAUAGAUGGAUCCGCGCUGCAUUAGCUAGUUGGUAAGGUAACGGCUUACCAAGGCAACGAUGCAUAGCCGACCUGAGAGGGUGAUCGGCCACACUGGAACUGAGACACGGUCCAGACUCCUACGGGAGGCAGCAGGAGGGAAUCUUCCGCAAUGGGCGAAAGCCUGUCGGAGCAACGCCGCGUGAGUGAUGAAGGUCUUCGGAUCGUAAAACUCUGUUAUUAGGGAAGAACAUAUGUGUAAGUAACUGUGCACAUCUUGACGGUACCUAAUCAGAAAGCCACGGCUAAGUACGGG